This 74-nucleotide transfer RNA is filed under the name Chloroflexota bacterium. Its description in RNAcentral is "Chloroflexi bacterium tRNA-Gln". It matches the Rfam family "tRNA". Rfam says of the family: Transfer RNA (tRNA) molecules are approximately 80 nucleotides in length. Their secondary structure includes four short double-helical elements and three loops (D, anti-codon, and T loops). Lineage: Bacteria; Bacillati; Chloroflexota. The record is from RNAcentral.
UGAGGGGUCGUCUAAUGGUAGGACAGCAGGUUCUGGCCCUGCCGGUCCAGGUUCGAGUCCUGGCCCCUCAGCCU